AAAAUGGAAAAAAAAAAUAAAAAAGAAGUAAAUUCUUCCACUUCAGUGUACUACUUUCAAUCCCUAAAUAAAUAAAAGAAUCACAUUUAGUCCAGACAUUGGGAAACAAUGAGUUGAUGAGGAUAAAGAUCAACUUUGAAACUGAAUAUCAAUAACAUAAUCCAUGAAUUCAUCUAAAUGCCACAAUAAGUGAAAUUAGGAAAUGACAGCAACAGCUUCACUCAAUACGAAACAACUCAGAGAAAAUUGCUAUUUUUGUAGCUGAGGAUUUCUUGAUAUGUUUUUGGGUAACAAGGUAAAAGAAGUUUAGAUGAGGAGACUAGUUGUUCUGCUUUGUACAGUGUACUCUGUCACUGUUAUUUUAAAGCCGAAAUUUUUGGCUUUAGAUAGUUUUCUUGCAAGUUGUGUAGUCAUCUUAGUUAUUCCCUGAUUGACUCUUUCCUUUUGGCUAAUUGCAUGAUUAAUUAGCAGUCUGUCACUGUAACACUCUCUUUAUUUCCUUGUUUUUUCCUCUCUAAUAAAUUUUUCUACUAUCCACUGAAUGAUCCUAAGAGAAAAUCAUUUUUGGACAAAUGGGUUGAUAAAAAGCUUUUAAUUUGUCAAAGAAACUAAACAAAUAGAAAAAUGGGUAUUAUUUUUCACUGGAGUAAUUCAUGAAAUUGAAAUGCAACACAUCAAAAGUACUAAUUUUAAUUAUUUUUAGACAAGGAACACCCAAGUGCCCAAUCAAUAACCAAAUCAGAAUGAUACAAUAAAAGAAGACAGCUCAAUGUGAAAAAAAAAAAUCAUCAAAAAGAUGGAAUUCAGUUGCAAAAGACAAGAAGGAAACUAAUUGAAACAGACCAUAGCCAAUCAAACAAACAACAGAAAAAAACGAGAGAAAGAUAAGAAUCACACAAGAAUCCAGGAUUUUCUUCCCUAGACCGGUUCACCAUGAACCAAUAGACAAAAGAACAAAUUGAAUCAAGAUUGAAAAAAGAUUAAAACUGCAUUUCCAGUAAUAAAAGACAUACCCAAGAGGAUAAACAUUUCC
This 1033-nucleotide unclassified non-coding RNA is filed under the name Hevea brasiliensis (rubber tree). Lineage: Eukaryota; Viridiplantae; Streptophyta; Magnoliopsida; Malpighiales; Euphorbiaceae. The record is from RNAcentral.